Molecule: long non-coding RNA, 2722 nt
Organism: Carcharodon carcharias (great white shark)
Lineage: Eukaryota; Metazoa; Chordata; Chondrichthyes; Lamniformes; Lamnidae
Exons: 3
Source: RefSeq, a predicted model, not a curated record
AGCACUCGAGUUGGUGCUCGAGAUUACCGGUACAAUGGGAUUGAAUGUUCAAAUACUCAAUCAACUGAAAGAGUUAUUUCUAAACAGUAACUCUUUCAAAUUCAUUCAGAGUGCUAUCCUGGUUCUAAUCCUUUAUGGAUUGGAAGAGCUCCUUGAAAAACAUAUCACUUGUCCGUGUGUUGUGGAAGCGAAUAAUUGCUAUGCUUGGAUGUUUUUUCUUUUCCCUUCAGUAAUAUUGCUAAUAAUCAGCCUAAUGCUGCAAUUUGAAUCAUAUCAAUGUAAUUGGUGUUGCAGGUGUCGUUUUCGGGCAAGAAAUUCGACAAAGAGCGAGCAAUCCACUGGACCAGUCGAGGAAAACACACCAGAAAAGUGUUGCAAAUGUGACGUUGUCCCUGCCAUUUUGUUAUUUAGAAUACUGACUCCACCAAUAAUAUGGAUUCUUCGACGGUAACUGCUAUACCUGUGCUGAGAUAAUGAAAGAUAAAAAUGUGACGAAGAAAAUGUGCGCCGAAUUCAACUGCAAUGAUAAUGACAGUAAAGUUUUAUCUGAGCUACGACGUCAUUGUUAUAUAUUGCGGUUCAUUGGUGGCGUUUUAAUUUUCGUAUUCCUGGUCCUACUGCUGUUGCUCUACUCUCUUCAUCGUUGCACUUGGUGUAAUAUGAAGAAAUUUAUUACAAAAAUGAAUAUGAUUCAAUGCGUGGAAGAUUGAAAGAAAAUCUGAUGAUGAAGGCACUGUAUGACAAAGCAGAUGCAGAGGCAAGAAAAGACAUUAACAACAUGAGCAAAAGAUUUCCUUCUCACCAUGAGUCUGUAUCUGGGACUCAAACAAAUAAUAAUGAAGCUGAAUCGACAUAUGAGCCACCCACUUCUGGAACUGAUGCAUUUACACAAGAGCGUCAGGACACUCCGCAACGUUGUUCUAGCAGCAACAUAAAAAGCAAAGAACAAUUGGCUCCACUCAACAAAGUGCACAAAGGAACAACAGUCUCAAACGAAGACACCAAAGUGUAAUUCAGCAUCAUUUAGUGAACAUUUUUAACUGUAAUUGUUUUAAUUCAUUUGAUUGCAAGUGCCGAUUUGUUAUAUGAUGUAAAAUUUAAGGGUAAAUGUUCCACUGCUGCCCCUACUCUGUGAUAGGGAUGCACAGUUUUACAUUAGGCACUUAUGUGUGAGUACUCGAAUGGAAAUUGCACCCUUAAUUCAUUCAUUUACUCUAUUGCAGAUGCCAUCCUCUGAAAUCAUGCAUUUGUCCCAUGAUAGAAAAUACACACUUCAAUCAUACGUUUGUCCCCGAUACAAAAUUGACAUUUAAGUUACAGCUUGCUCCUUAUUGAAAAUAUAUUUAGGUCAACAAUGUGGUACUCUGGAAUUUGGUGAAAUGGGAAAUCGGUGCAGUGGAGGAUGGUGAUGGCAUUGCAACUAGGAAUGGUAAAUAUAUAAAUAAUCAGAGAAAUUAAUUCAAUGUGAAAAAUGUUUAAAGCAAAACAAUGAGACAGCUGAGACCCUUACCUAAAUCUCCUGUGCUGUGAGGUCCUGGGUAACCACAAGUGAAGGAAGUGCCUCCAGUUGCAGGAACUCCGGUUUGAGGGGUGGCUGGAGUCACUGCAGGGCCUAUAGGAGGCUGGGAAUUUCCUGAAGUACACAUUCCUGCAGGUGGUGACUUCACAGCUACAGAGAGUUCAGGAGAAUAGUAAGUGGCCACCUGACAGAGUAAGAAGAGACAGGCAGUGCAGGAAUGUUCUAGGCCUAUGACAUUUUCAAAACAAAAAAAUCACUGCUGAAUACAAGUGAGGGUGAAAAAGCCUCAGAAGAGUGCAACCUAGAGCACACACAUUGAACCAUGAGGAAAAUGAUUGUGUGGGGAAAACAGCAAUGUCUUGCAGAUGUGAGUAACCAUGCCUGGGACAUACGAGCGCACCUCCAGCAUUGACUUUUACUCAUCCCUAGAUUGUGAUACAUGCAUCGACCAGCUAAUGCUCGCUGUUGUAGUGGUCCAUGUGCAUCAGCCUGUUGACCUUAUAGAGGCCCUGCUGACUCUUGCUACUCAGGCCCUUGCUCCUAAUGGCCCUGUGCCAACCUGCGAUGGGCCCUCCUUCUCAUCCGGAUGAGCGCCAUUACCAAGGCAGGGUUGCCUGCAGUCUGCAUCAUUGACACUUCAUUGACAUGUGUGAAUGAUUUGAAGUGAUAUAUUAAGUGAGCAUGUCCUUUACAGGUUUCCAUCCACCUCAAAGCCUGUAGGCCAGCGCUAAUGCCUUCACCUGGCCUCGGUCUAGGCACCACAUCCCCACCCCAACCCUUCUCGUUAAAGAACAUCCUGGAGGAACAGGGAUGGAUGUUCCUCCCAUUUUCUUACUGAUUCUUGUACUGAAGCAUUACUUUUAACUCCUAUUGACCAAAGCAAAAUAAUGAAAAUUGUUAAUUCGCUCAAGACAAGUAAUUCCGCUGGUCAUGCCAGAAUAAGCAACAAACUAUUGAAGAAGAUAAUCUCAAAUACUGCCACUCCUCUUACUCAUAGGUGCAAUCUCUCAUUUUCAACCAGCAUUUUUCCAAUAUAAAUUAUAUUUUCAAAAGCUAUAAAAACGAUGACAUGUCUUUACCAAACAAUUAUUUCCCAAUUUCAAUACUGUCAAUUUUUCAACAAUUUGUUUAGAAUAGAUUAUAUUCCUUUUUGUCAUGCCAAAAUGUAUUGAAAUUAAAUCAGUUUGGUUUCAGACACCAUCA